UGGUCGGAUUUGGGUUUGGGUUUCGGUUAAUCUUAAAUAUCUUUUCCUAUUUAAUGACUAAAAAUAACAAAUAUAGUAUUAAUUUGUGGUUUUGAUUGAUUGAUCAAACUAACAACUUACAUUUAUAAUUAAAAUUAAAAAAAUUCUAUUUUGAAUUUAAAUUUAGAAUUAAAAUUAAUAAUACAAGUUUAAAUAUGUAAUUUACUACAACAUUCAUAUGCAAGUUAAAAUGCAUUACUAAAGUUAGUUUCAAAAUCAAAUUUAAAUUUGAAUUUUAUAUUUAAAUUGAAAAUUAAAAUUUGAAAUUCAAAUCUUAAACAAUUAUAAAAUUUAUAAUUUUAAUUCAUAUAUAAAUUUAAAAUUUGAUUUUAAAAUUUUUAAUUAAAAAUUUAUGUUUAAAAAUUGAACUUUUAAUUUCUAUCUAACCUUUGAUUCAAUGUCAAACUAUAAAUUAAUUAAAAAAUAUAUAAGUUUGCACAUGAGGGCAAAGUGGUUCGACCACUAA
Molecule: long non-coding RNA, 505 nt
Filed under: Ananas comosus (pineapple)
Lineage: Eukaryota; Viridiplantae; Streptophyta; Magnoliopsida; Poales; Bromeliaceae
Description: long non-coding RNA (ACOM_LNC035060)
Source: RNAcentral